CUAACUUUUCACUUGGAACCGUUUCCGGCGAAAGAAUAGUGGGCAUAUGACUUACCAGACCGGUCCAACCUACGGUUUGUUGAUGUUGACAAAUCGGAAAAAAAUCACCCGGGAAGUUUCCGAAAAAUUCCAACUCGAUCCGUUCAACGUCGAUUAUCGUGUAAAAGCCUCAAUUACGCACUCGGGACCGAUGACCAACCCCCCUGGAAGUCGAAAAAAGCGAUAGCUGGUUGUUCCGCGGUGAUUGAUUGCUGCUGCUGCUGGUACUUAUGAGCAAAUUAAUUGCUUCUGCUGCUGCUGAUCGAAGUGCACUUUCUGCUGCUGAUGCUGGUGGUGAAUGCCGAAAAUGAUUCCCCAGGCCUGGCAGGUACGUGCGCGAUUCAAUCCGGGAUGAAGGACCAUGUACGGACGCAGGCUUCCGUUAUUGUUGUCCCAGGAAUUGGGUCCCAAACGGCGUCGAAGGAUUCGGAAUAGCAGGAACAACUUUGGUCAUCAACUUGACCAGCGAUGGCGGAGCAGAACAAAGGCCGAUAAGCGAAGCGAAAUUUUCGGUUGGAGACACGUCCGUUCGCGCGAAUAGGUUUUGAAAAGUGAUCUUUAUUGAAGCAUAAAUACAUACAUGUCACUUACGA
Molecule: long non-coding RNA, 632 nt
Organism: Uranotaenia lowii
Lineage: Eukaryota; Metazoa; Arthropoda; Insecta; Diptera; Culicidae
Exons: 2
Source: RefSeq, a predicted model, not a curated record